CCUACGGGGGGCUGCAGUGGGGAAUAUUGGACAAUGGGGGGAACCCUGAUCCAGCCAUGCCGCGUGUGUGAAGAAGGCCCUCGGGUUGUAAAGCACUUUCAGUGAGGAAGAACGCCUGGUGGUUAAUACCCAUCAGGAAAGACAUCACUCACAGAAGAAGCACCGGCUAACUCCGUGCCAGCAGCCGCGGUAAUACGGAGGGUGCGAGCGUUAAUCGGAAUUACUGGGCGUAAAGCGCGCGUAGGUGGCUUGAUAAGCCGGUUGUGAAAGCCCCGGGCUCAACCUGGGAACGGCAUCCGGAACUGUCAAGCUAGAGUGUAGGAGAGGAAGGUAGAAUUCCCGGUGUAGCGGUGAAAUGCGUAGAGAUCGGGAGGAAUACCAGUGGCGAAGGCGGCCUUCUGGACUGACACUGACACUGAGGUGCGAAAGCGUGGGUAGCAAACAGGAUUAGAUACCCGUGUAGUC
RNAcentral lists this ribosomal RNA (465 nucleotides) under Vreelandella stevensii. RNAcentral's name for it is "partial 16S ribosomal RNA". It matches the Rfam family "Bacterial small subunit ribosomal RNA", at positions 338 to 795 of the family's 1533-position model. The record is from RNAcentral. Lineage: Bacteria; Pseudomonadati; Pseudomonadota; Gammaproteobacteria; Oceanospirillales; Halomonadaceae.